Molecule: transfer RNA, 59 nt
Filed under: Dipodomys ordii (Ord's kangaroo rat)
Lineage: Eukaryota; Metazoa; Chordata; Mammalia; Rodentia; Heteromyidae
Rfam family: tRNA
About the family: Transfer RNA (tRNA) molecules are approximately 80 nucleotides in length. Their secondary structure includes four short double-helical elements and three loops (D, anti-codon, and T loops). Further hydrogen bonds mediate the characteristic L-shaped molecular structure. tRNAs have two regions of fundamental functional importance: the anti-codon, which is responsible for specific mRNA codon recognition, and the 3' end, to which the tRNAs corresponding amino acid is attached (by aminoacyl-tRNA synthetases). tRNAs cope with the degeneracy of the genetic code in two manners: having more than one tRNA (with a specific anti-codon) for a particular amino acid; and 'wobble' base-pairing, i.e. permitting non-standard base-pairing at the 3rd anti-codon position.
Source: Rfam by way of RNAcentral
GUGGCUCAGUGGUAGAGUGCUUGCCUUGCAUGCAUGAGGUCCUGGGUUUGAUUCUCAGC